AUGGAAUAUAGCGUUUGGACCAAGCGACGGCGAAUUAAUGCCAAAGUUCAGGAGCACUUGCGGGUGUUGGAAACCUACAAAAAAGACUUCGGGAAUCUGAAUGAGGAUUUGGACUGUCGUGAAAGGGACCAAGAAUCAGAUUCUGAGGAAAGGCGCCAAAUAUCAGAUUCCGAGGAAAGGGACCAAUAUUCAGAUUCCGAGGAAAGGGACCAAGAUUCAGAUUUAGACGAAGGAGACCGAGAAUCAGAUACCGAGAUGGUUUAUGAUUAUUGCAGUGAAGCAGAACCUUGCCAGAAUAAUUCAGACAUUGUUGAAGGAUCUGAUCCGUGUAGUGAGCUUAAAGAUAAGUUGGCUGAUUGGGCAGCAAAACGCAAUAUUUCACAUAGUGCCUUGUCAGAACUAUUACCUAUUUUAAGGCAUUGUGGCCUUGACUUGCCAAAAGAUCCAAGAACGCUUAUGUCAACCUCAAAAAACUGUGAGGUCAAAGAAAUGGGAGAUGGAAGCUACUACUAUUUUGGAGUUGCAAAUGCUAUUAUUUCACAGCUAUCUCGUGAAUCACCUCCUGUAGUAGACACUCUAACCCUCCGGGUCAACAUUGAUGGCAUAUCCCUCUCCAAAAGCUCGAAAAAUGAGUUGUGGCCUAUUUUGGCCAAGAUUAAAGAAAUUCCGACAUCUGAUGUAUUUGUCGUUGGGCUCUAUGCAGGCCACUCAAAACCCCCUUCUGUUGGUGAAUACUUGAAGGAUUUUAUUCAGGACCUUAAGCUAAUAACUUCCGAGGGUUUUGAUUAUAAUGGGAAACAUUUUAAUGUCGCUCUUCCAGAUGCCUUCAUCUGUGAUGCACCUGCCCGUGUCUUCUUAAAAGGUAUCAAAGGCCAUACAGGCUACAGUGCCUGUGAGCGCUGUGUAGAGCACGGGGUUUAUCUAAAUGGCAAGGUUGUUUUUCCUGACUUGAAUGAACCACUCAGAACUGAUAUAACAUUUAAAAGUAGGUGUGAUGAGGGACAUCACCAUCGUGACUCACCUUUACUAGAGCUGGGAAUAGGGAUGGUUUCAAGUUUUGUACUUGACUACAUGCAUUUAGUUUGCUAG
RNAcentral lists this long non-coding RNA (1089 nucleotides) under Gadus morhua (Atlantic cod). RNAcentral's name for it is "lncRNA (ENSGMOG00000024099.1)". Lineage: Eukaryota; Metazoa; Chordata; Actinopteri; Gadiformes; Gadidae. The record is from RNAcentral.